Dermatophagoides pteronyssinus (European house dust mite) is the source of this 4938-nucleotide unclassified non-coding RNA. NCBI's taxonomy places the organism in Eukaryota, Metazoa, Arthropoda, Arachnida, Sarcoptiformes, Pyroglyphidae. The record is from RefSeq and is a predicted model, not a curated record.
UUUUUCUUUGAUUGAAGAAUCUCCAAAGAUCCAUUUGUGAUCGGAACUUUUUUUCAAGUGUGAUAAAAUUAUUUAAUCUGAAAACAAAAUCAUCCAUCGAUAAAAAAUGAUGGACAUAAAGAAAGCUGCUAAUGCUGUUAAUAAUACAACAACAAUUUCAUCGUUGAAUAUCGAAUCGAACGUAUCUUUGGAUUCAUCACCAUCACCAUCAACAACAUCGGCAUCAGCACCAGGAUCUCCAUUUCAUCCAAUUCUUUUACAUCAAUUUCUUAAACAUCAUCAACAACAACAACAUCAGCAACAACAAUCACAAACAAAAACAACAAAUAAUUCAAUAUCAUCAACAACAACAACAUCACCAUUAUCAUCUGAAUCAAAUUCACCAUUAACCGAUAAUAAUUCAACAACAGCAGCACAAUUAUUACAAAAUUAUGCUAUGGUAGCGACAUCUAUUGCUAAUGGAACGAAUUCAAAUCCAAUUCAAAUUGAUACCGGAUUCUGGGAUAAUACAACUGCAACAACAACGGCAUCGAAUUUUUUAACAACCGAAUCAAAUGAAAUUGUUGCAUCAAUGAUGGCUGCCGCUGCUGCCAACAAUCAACAGAAUCAAAAUUCUUCAAAUAAUGAUCAUUCGUCAUCAUUUGCAAAUGCUGCAAGUCAAUUAUUGGCUGCAAUUUCAGCACAAAUGAUCAAAGAUUCUACGACCACUACAUCACCAACAUCAUCAUCAUCAACGACAAAAUCAUUGGGUAAAAAUAUUGUCAACAAACAACAACGAGAAAGAGAUGAACGAUUUUGUAUGAUUUGUGGUAAUAAUAUUAUCGCUCAUAAUCAAUUAGAAUAUGAACAACAUUUAUUAACACAUUUUUCACAAUUAACUGAAUUAUCGGAUACAAUGGCGAAUGGAUCGAUGAAAUUAUCAUCACCGUCAUCAUCAUCAUCAUAUGGUAUACCAUUUUUACAUCAGAUGCAAAAUUUAUUAAACCAAAACCAAACAUCAUCAUCAACAAUAACAACACCAACACCGACAUCAACAUCAUCACAACAACAACAACAGACCAAUGGAUCCACCUCUUCAUUAUCAUCAAGUGCAAUAUCAAAUACACAACAAACCACAACAUUGUCUGGUGCCGAUCAACGAUCAACUACAUCACAACAACAACAAGUGAUGACUAAAAAACGUAAACUAUUAUCAUCACAUCAAGCUCAACAACAACAACAACAACAACAGCUGCAACAACAAUUAAAUAAUACGGAUCAGGAUUCCUCAAUGAAUGAUCCGUUGAUGAUUAUGGCCAAUAAUAACAAUAGUGAUGAACAACAACAGCAACAACAACAGACCAUCAAAGGUAUCAAUAGCCAUUUGUCAUCAUCAUCAACAACAACAACAGCAUUUCCAUGUACAUCCUGUCAUAAAACAUUUGCAACUGAAGUUGAUUUAAAAGCUCAUUUGAUUAGACAUCUUACGCAACAUCCAUUUGUUUGUUUUGCUUGUGGUAAAGGUUUUAAAUAUGAACAUUCAUUAAAUUUUCAUAUAAAAUCAUAUCAUUCUGGUGGUAAUAGUGGUAGUAGUAGCGGCAGUGGAAAUGUAUCCAACAAUAAUAAUUCGGAAAAUUUGAAAUCAAAAAUUGAAACCGAAAAUAAUAAUAAGAAAUUAUCAUCAAACAACAAUAAAAAUAUUGAUCAUUCAAAAUGUACGGAUAAUAAUGAUCAUCAAUUAUCACCAUCAUUGUUAAAAUCAACAAAACGCAAAUGUUCCUCAUCGCAAUCUCAAUCGCAAUUACAAUUGAAUGAAUCGCAAUCAGAAUCGACAACAACAACAUCGAAUGUUAAUAAUAAUAAUAAAAAAUGCAAAUCAAAUAUUGAUGAUCAAUUAAAAUCAAUGAUAACAUCAACAUUGAUUACUGAUGAAAAUCAUAAUCAAACAACAGCACGAUCGUUUAAUUGGUCACAAGCUGAUGUUUCAUUUUUUUGUAAACCACCGGCUAAUUUGGUUGCCGAUUCUCCUAUACAAAUACGUUCGGAAAAAAUUCUUGUAUCAUUAUUGGAUGCAAUCAAUGUACAAACUGAACAGCCAUUAUUAUUCUAUAAAUGUUGUCUUUGUUCAGUUGCAUUUGCAUCAAUGGAACAAAUCACUAACCAUAUUCAACAAGUACAUCAUAUUCUAAUGAUACCUACAACAAUGAAUGGUUCGGAAUAUCUACUUACAUCUAACCAAACAAUAACCGUUGGUGGUCAUGAUCAACAACAACAAAAAGUAGCUGAAAAUGCUGCUGCAGCUGCUGCUAUGGCUGCUUUGUUUGCAAAAACGGCUGCCGGAAUCGAUGGAUCCGAUCAAUCGAUUAUAUCGAAGCUAUCAUCAUCAACAUCAUUACCAUCAUCACCAUCUUCAACAACAUCACUAUCGAUUAAUACAAGAACAACAACUUUACAAUGUGAUAAAUGUUUGGCAAAAUUUAAUGAUACUAUAGAAUUUGAAAUUCAUUGUCAAUUACAUCGAACAUUAGAAAUGGCUAGUUCGAAUUCGAAUCAUUUAACAACAACAACAGCUGCAACAAAUCAACAAUUUCAAUUAUUAAAUUCACUUAUGAAUAAUAAUUCUAUGGCCACGAAUCAUAACAAUAAAUCUGGUCUAUCAAUAUCGAUUCCAACAGCAAUCAAUCAACAACAACAAUUAAAUCAUCAUCAUCAAUCAUCUGUUGUUGAUUUUCGUAAAAUCCUGGCAAAUGCAUCAAAAAAUACUGAUUUUGGUCGUAAAUUUGCUGCAAGUUUAAUGGAUGGAUCUCAUCAUCAUCAACAUACUAUUGGUGGACAAACAACAUCAUCAUCGACUACCAAAGAUAAAACACUAUUAUCUAUUGUUGGUAAUAGUGGUGAUAAUAAUUUUCCACCAUCAAUAGCAACAAAUGAUUCAAAUUCUUUACAUCAUCAUGAUCCAAAUACACCACCACCACCAACAAUUAUACCGACAUCGAUGAUUACUACAAAACAACAAUCAUCAUCAUCAUCUAACAAUAAUAAUUCAACAACAUUGACCAAUUCAUCAUCAUCGGAUAACAAUAACAAUUCAUUAUUAUAUCUUUCUGGAAUUGUACCAGAUAUAAUUGGUCAUCAAACAUUGUUGGCGGCAACUAACGUUAAUCAACAUCCAGUAUCAACUGCUAUGAAUCAAUCACAUUCAAUGAAAUCGAAUAAAUCAAAUAAAUCAACAUUAUCAUCAUCGAUUACAUUGGCCGAUCUAACUACAUCGACAUCAAAUGAAAAAUGUUCAUCACCGAAAACAACACGUAGUAACAGUAAGAAUAAUGGUUCAUCAUCAUCGACAUCAUCUUCAUCAUCAUCAACAUCAUCGACAACAACAUCAUCAAGACAUUUAAAAGAACCUGUAGAUAUUUUCGAAGGUGCUGGACAAAGUUUACCGAUACAAAAAUUUUCUUUAGGUGAUAUUGAAGAGACGGCACCCGGUCAAUUUAAAUGUCGAUUUUGUGACAAAACAUUUGAUCGAGUGUUUAGUGUACAUCGUCAUGAACGUGUACACACUGGAUUUAAACCUUGUGUUUGUAAAACAUGUGGCCGUGGUUUUUCCGAAAAACGUAAUCUUCGUCAUCAUAUUAUACGUUUUCAUUCGGAUGGUAGUGGCCGUGAAUUAUUGAAACGAAAACGUAAACCUAAAAAUGGUACAAUAAACAAUAUUGAUAAUAAUCAAUCAUCAACAGAUACGACUAUUAUGCAGAUGAUGCAACAACAGCAACAAAUGACCACUGAUAAAUUGAUAACAUCACCAUCAUCAUUUAUGUCAUCAUUAUUAUCAUCGGCUGCUUUGGCUGCAUUUCAAUUUAAUAAUAAUCCAGCAACAACUACGACUGUUAGUGGUGGUGAUACAUUAAUUAAUGAUACAAAUAAUGGUAGUCUUUCAAAUCUAAAAUUAUCGUUAGCCGAAUUAAAUCGAUUAAAUUCCUCAUCAUCAUCAUCAUCAACAAAAACAUUGACAACAAAAUCGCGUCGUUCAAAUAAAUCACAACGAAAUGAAUUUGAAAAUGUUAUCAAUGAUGGUGGUGGUGGUGAUGAUGAGAAAACAACAAAUUUGAGCUUAAAUUUAUUGAAAAAUAAUCAAAAAAUGAAUGAAUCGAUUCUCAAUCUAUCACCAUCAUCAGUUGCAGCAAUAGCGUCAUCAUCGAUCAUCACUUCAUCUGGAUCAUCACGUCGACGUAAAAGUGUUAAACCAUCACGAAAAGUUGCGACACAAGAUGAUGAUGAAGAUGGUGAUGAUAAUGAUAAUGAUAAUGUUGAUGAUGAUAAUCAAAAUCAAAAGGAAGAAGAAUCAUCGAAAACGCAACAACAAUCAAAAAUUGAUGAUUUGGAUUCGAUUGAAAUAAAUCGACAACCAUCAUUACAACAGGAUGAUGGUGAAGAAACCGAACCAGAAGAUGAUAAUGAAAUAAUUCAAUCAACAAUUCAAUCGAGUGAUAAUUCAAAAAAUGAUGAAACAAAAAAUGAAGAUAAUUCAGAAGAUACUGAACCGGAAGAAAACAAUGACCAUGAUGAUGGAGAUGAUGAUGAUGAUGAUGAACAGAUGAAUAAUUCCACCAAAGAUAAUAAAGAUUCACGACAAACAAAAAACAGAAAAUCUUCAACAAGAUAAAAUUGAAAUAAUCAUUUCAACAUAACCAUCUUAAUUUAGAUGGCCAAAAUAAUCCAGUAGUAGUGGUAUUAGUGAUGGUAAUAGUUGUCAUUUAAAUUCUUCUUCCAUAAUCUUUAAUAAUCGAUGGUAUUGCGAUACUGGUUAUGAAUUCCCGAAGCAACAAAAUUUCUUUCAUUUUAAACAAAACAAAACAAAAUUUAAUUUAAUUUUUUUGUGAUAUAAAACUGCUCGAAUUAUGUGCAUCAUCAUCAUUUACAUUUACAUUCACAUCAUUUACAUCAUCAUUAUCAUUGACA